RNAcentral lists this ribosomal RNA (394 nucleotides) under uncultured bacterium. Its description in RNAcentral is "bacterial SSU rRNA". It matches the Rfam family "Bacterial small subunit ribosomal RNA", at positions 29 to 413 of the family's 1533-position model. The record is from RNAcentral.
AACGAACGCUGGCGGCGCGCCUAAUACAUGCAAGUCGAGCGAGAAGGUGUAGCAAUACACUUGUAAAGCGGCGAACGGGUGAGGAAUACAUGGGUAAUCUACCAUCGAGUGGGGAAUAACCAACCGAAAGGUUGGCUAAUACCGCGUACGCCUCCGAAUCUUCGGGUUCGGAGGGAAAGCUGCACUGUGAGUGUAGCGCUCUUUGAUGAGCUCAUGUCCUAUCAGCUUGUUGGUAGGGUAACGGCCUACCAAGGCUUUGACGGGUAGCUGGUCUGAGAGGACGAUCAGCCACACUGGCACUGCGACACGGGCCAGACUCCUACGGGAGGCAGCAGUAAGGAAUAUUGCGCAAUGGGCGAAAGCCUGACGCAGCGACGCCGCGUGGAGGAUGACG